Molecule: ribosomal RNA, 390 nt
Filed under: Dociostaurus maroccanus
Lineage: Eukaryota; Metazoa; Arthropoda; Insecta; Orthoptera; Acrididae
Description: 12S ribosomal RNA
Rfam family: Microsporidia small subunit ribosomal RNA
Source: RNAcentral
AUACCCUAUUAUUUUAAGUGUUAAUUUUACUUACCUGGGUACUAUUAGUUAAGAUCUUUAAACCCAAAGAAUUUGGCGGUAUCUCAUUCCAUUCAGAGGAACCUACCCCGUAAUUGAUAAUACACGAUUAACUUUACUUAAUUUAUUUGUUUGUAUAUCUCCGUUAUCAGAAAAUCUUAUUGGAGUUAUAAUUUUCUUGAUUUAUAAUUGUAAAGUAUUUCAGGUCAAGGUGCAGCUUAUAAUUAAGAGGAGGUGGGUUACAAUAAAUUUUUUUUUAUUAUGGAUUUAAUGGUGAAAUACCAUUAAUAAAGGUGGAUUUGAUAGUAAUUUAAUUUAGUUAAUUUAAUUGAUAUUGGCUCUGAGGUGUGUACACAUCGCCCGUCGCUCUCA